This 770-nucleotide ribosomal RNA is filed under the name Streptomyces griseoflavus. Its description in RNAcentral is "bacterial SSU rRNA". It matches the Rfam family "Bacterial small subunit ribosomal RNA", at positions 170 to 952 of the family's 1533-position model. Lineage: Bacteria; Bacillati; Actinomycetota; Actinomycetes; Kitasatosporales; Streptomycetaceae. The record is from RNAcentral.
CGGAUACUGACCCGCCUGGGCAUCCAGGCGGUUCGAAAGCUCCGGCGGUGCAGGAUGAGCCCGCGGCCUAUCAGCUUGUUGGUGAGGUAAUGGCUCACCAAGGCGACGACGGGUAGCCGGCCUGAGAGGGCGACCGGCCACACUGGGACUGAGACACGGCCCAGACUCCUACGGGAGGCAGCAGUGGGGAAUAUUGCACAAUGGGCGAAAGCCUGAUGCAGCGACGCCGCGUGAGGGAUGACGGCCUUCGGGUUGUAAACCUCUUUCAGCAGGGAAGAAGCGAAAGUGACGGUACCUGCAGAAGAAGCGCCGGCUAACUACGUGCCAGCAGCCGCGGUAAUACGUAGGGCGCGAGCGUUGUCCGGAAUUAUUGGGCGUAAAGAGCUCGUAGGCGGCUUGUCACGUCGGUUGUGAAAGCCCGGGGCUUAACCCCGGGUCUGCAGUCGAUACGGGCAGGCUAGAGUUCGGUAGGGGAGAUCGGAAUUCCUGGUGUAGCGGUGAAAUGCGCAGAUAUCAGGAGGAACACCGGUGGCGAAGGCGGAUCUCUGGGCCGAUACUGACGCUGAGGAGCGAAAGCGUGGGGAGCGAACAGGAUUAGAUACCCUGGUAGUCCACGCCGUAACGGUGGGCACUAGUGUGGGCGACAUUCCACGUCGUCCGUGCCGCAGCUAACGCAUUAAGUGCCCCGCCUGGGGAGUACGGCCGCAAGGCUAAAACUCAAAGGAAUUGACGGGCGGCCCGCACAAGCGGCGGAGCAUGUGGCUUAAUUC